UAAUAGUUAUUUCAAAUCACCAUAAAUUUGUGCAUUAUAUUUACCAAAAAAAUUAUAAUAAAAAUUUAAUUUAAAAAAAAUCAUAUAUUAUAUUUUAUGUAAAAAUAUCUAUCAUCCAUAAUACAAAUCAAAUAGUUGCCGCCGACAAAUAUUCUAUAGUUCUAUUUUUUAUAUACAUUGAAUAUUCCGCUAUAAUUUUCAGUUUCUCACAAAUCCAAAAAUUUAAAUAUAUGUUUAAACUAAAAUUAUCAAAAUUUUAAUUUAUGUUUAUUUCAAAAUUUAAAAUUAAAUUCUCAUCCACUUUAAUUAAAGUUUUUAACUAUUUUUCAAUCUUAAAAUCCAAAAUUAUAUUUAAUUCACAAUUUAAACUCAAAUUUUAAUUUUAAUUUAAAAAUUCAUAAAUUUAAUUUAAAUUAUAUAAUUAAGUUUCAGCUCUAAAUUUCAGAUGAAAUAAAAAUUAUAAAUAAAAUUAAAAUUAAAAUUUAGAUAGAUAUUUAAAUUUAAAUUUAAUUAUUUGUUGUAAUAAUAAAAAGUUAGUAUAAUAAUUAAAUAUUAGUAGAUAAAAUUAAGAUAAUUGUUAAAUAUUCAUCUUUUAAAAAAAGAUACGAUUGAAUAUUAUGUAUGCAACAGGUAUUACGUUAUGAUUGGAUAUAAUGUAGGCGACUGAUUUUACGUUGGACUGGAUAUAGAUAUUAUUAUUAAAAAAAAAAGACAGAUACUUUUAUUUUCAAAAGAUUUAAGUUAUCUAUAACUAACUAACUUCUAUCCAAUUAUUUUUCAUACUUUUAAUCAAAAUCA
This 798-nucleotide long non-coding RNA is filed under the name Ananas comosus (pineapple). Its description in RNAcentral is "long non-coding RNA (ACOM_LNC013858)". The record is from RNAcentral. Lineage: Eukaryota; Viridiplantae; Streptophyta; Magnoliopsida; Poales; Bromeliaceae.